Molecule: ribosomal RNA, 183 nt
Filed under: Alphaproteobacteria bacterium
Lineage: Bacteria; Pseudomonadati; Pseudomonadota; Alphaproteobacteria
Description: partial 23S ribosomal RNA
Rfam family: Bacterial large subunit ribosomal RNA
Source: RNAcentral
GCGGCACCGCAGGGUAGCUAUGUUCGGAACAGAUAACCGCUGAAAGCAUCUAAGCGGGAAGCUGGUCGCAAGAUAAGAUAUCCCCAUGAGUUCAGUUCUAGACGAGGACAUUGAUAGGCCGUAUGUGUAAGCCCUGUGAGGGGUUCAGCUUAACGGUACUAAUCGAACCAUUGACUUUUUAUC